Molecule: long non-coding RNA, 442 nt
Organism: Leopardus geoffroyi (Geoffroy's cat)
Lineage: Eukaryota; Metazoa; Chordata; Mammalia; Carnivora; Felidae
Exons: 2
Source: RefSeq, a predicted model, not a curated record
AGCCUAUCAUCCCCCUUCCUAAGUUGAUAGUGAGUCUUAUUAAGUGGUGCUGUGUCAUAAAGUGUUGAGUUGUGUCAGCUGGAAAUGGAACAUGAUUAAGUAUAUAAAGGAGCCCCAGCCUCGCCUGCCACAACAUUAUACAACAGAAACCUUGGCAGUGUGCUAACAUCUUUUCUUUCUCUCUUUCCUGGGGAGCAGCGAGCCCGCCUCUCACCAUGUGGGUCCAGUUGUUGGUCCUGGGCUCAAGUUGGCCAAGUGCAGAGAAGCAAGCUAACAGGAGAGAGAAAAAAGGUUCCAGCUCUGUUAUAUAACGGCACUACAGUAACGCACCCCGGUCCUUGGCAGCCCUGUAAAUUCCUCCUCUCUGAAUUGUUGGUUCGGGACAAUCAUUCAGCAGGGAAUUACUUUCUCAUCUAUGAAAUAAAUGAGAUGUUAAACUAGU